CAUGCAAGUCGAGCGGCAGCACGGGUACUUGUACCUGGUGGCGAGCGGCGGACGGGUGAGUAAUGCCUAGGAAUCUGCCUGAUAGUGGGGGAUAACGUCCGGAAACGGGCGCUAAUACCGCAUACGUCCUACGGGAGAAAGUGGGGGAUCUUCGGACCUCACGCUAUUAGAUGAGCCUAGGUCGGAUUAGCUAGUUGGUGAGGUAAUGGCUCACCAAGGCGACGAUCCGUAACUGGUCUGAGAGGAUGAUCAGUCACACUGGAACUGAGACACGGUCCAGACUCCUACGGGAGGCAGCAGUGGGGAAUAUUGGACAAUGGGCGAAAGCCUGAUCCAGCCAUGCCGCGUGUGUGAAGAAGGUCUUCGGAUUGUAAAGCACUUUAAGUUGGGAGGAAGGGCAGUUACCUAAUACGUGAUUGUUUUGACGUUACCGACAGAAUAAGCACCGGCUAACUCU
RNAcentral lists this ribosomal RNA (457 nucleotides) under uncultured bacterium. Its description in RNAcentral is "bacterial SSU rRNA". It matches the Rfam family "Bacterial small subunit ribosomal RNA", at positions 54 to 504 of the family's 1533-position model. The record is from RNAcentral.